Molecule: long non-coding RNA, 378 nt
Organism: Rhododendron vialii
Lineage: Eukaryota; Viridiplantae; Streptophyta; Magnoliopsida; Ericales; Ericaceae
Exons: 2
Source: RefSeq, a predicted model, not a curated record
CCUUAUGUUCUUCAGAGGGAUGAUCCAGAACAUAAUUUGAAACAACAGUUGCAUUCACUACCAUCUUUGCUUAUAUGCUUCAGCUUUACAAUUUUUGAUCAUUUUCAUGUGUCAUCAUCGAGCCUUAUAGCAUCAAGCCUUAUGGAGAGAAACAUUGGGUAUGGCCGAGACGAGAUUGGUUUAGGUUCACCUUGCAACAACGAUGCAACGUUGGCAAUUUUGCAAUUUUCAGCCACUGAUUCCAUCAUUGCCAACAACUUGACAUUGUAACGGCCAUGGAUCUAUAGUAAUAAGCAGAGAGCAAACAAAAUACACAUAAAAGAAAAAAAAUGCUCAACAUAUAGCUGGUUGAUAUUAGCAAAAAGGAAAAAAAGAAAG